GUGGGGAAUAUUGCACAAUGGGCGCAAGCCUGAUGCAGCGAUGCCGCGUGCGGGAAGAAGGCCCUAGGGUUGUAAACCGCUUUCAGCAGGGAAGAAAAUGACGGUACCUGUAGAAGAAGGUGCGGCCAACUACGUGCCAGCAGCCGCGGUGACACGUAGGCACCAAGCGUUGUCCGGAUUUAUUGGGCGUAAAGAGCUCGUAGGCGGUUCAGUAAGUCGGGUGUGAAAACUCUGGGCUCAACCCAGAGACGCCACCCGAUACUGCUGUGACUUGAGUACGGUAGGGGAGCGGGGAAUUCCUGGUGUAGCGGUGAAAUGCGCAGAUAUCAGGAGGAACACCAGUGGCGAAGGCGCCGCUCUGGGCCGAAACUGACGCUGAGGAGCGAAAGCAUGGGUAGCAAACAGGAUUAGAAACCCCUGUAGUCC
RNAcentral lists this ribosomal RNA (426 nucleotides) under uncultured Ilumatobacter sp. RNAcentral's name for it is "bacterial SSU rRNA". It matches the Rfam family "Bacterial small subunit ribosomal RNA", at positions 354 to 796 of the family's 1533-position model. Lineage: Bacteria; Bacillati; Actinomycetota; Acidimicrobiia; Acidimicrobiales; Ilumatobacteraceae. The record is from RNAcentral.